AGGCGAUGAAAGACGUAGUAACUUGCGAUAAGCCCAGAUUAGGUAGUAACAACCAUUUGAGUCUGGGAUUUCUGAAUGGGGAAACCCACUUACAUAAGUAAGUAUCCUUACCUGAAUACAUAGGGUAAGGAGGCGAACCGGGGGAACUGAAACAUCUAAGUACCCCGAGGAAAAGAAAUCAACCGAGAUUCCGAAAGUAGCGGCGAGCGAAAUUGGACUAGCCCUUAAGCUUUACACGCGUUAGACGAACGGUCUG
Molecule: ribosomal RNA, 256 nt
Filed under: Vibrio parahaemolyticus
Lineage: Bacteria; Pseudomonadati; Pseudomonadota; Gammaproteobacteria; Vibrionales; Vibrionaceae
Description: partial 23S ribosomal RNA
Rfam family: Bacterial large subunit ribosomal RNA
Source: RNAcentral